RNAcentral lists this long non-coding RNA (575 nucleotides) under Manihot esculenta (cassava). RNAcentral's name for it is "long non-coding RNA (MESC_LNC009617)". The record is from RNAcentral. Lineage: Eukaryota; Viridiplantae; Streptophyta; Magnoliopsida; Malpighiales; Euphorbiaceae.
UCUCCAAAUAUUAUCCUUUAUGGAUAACUCAAAUGAACAGAGGUCUAAGUCUCCAAAUGUUACCCUUUAUGAGUAACCCAAAUGAACAGAGUCCUAAAUCUCCAAAUGUUACCCUUUAUGAGUAACCCAAAUGAACAGAGCCCUAAGCCUCCAAAUGUUACCCUUUAUGGAUAACCCAAAUGAACAGAGUCCUAAGCCUCCAAAUGUUACCCUUUAUGAGUAACUCAAAUGAACAGAGUCCUAAGUCUCCAAAUGUUACCCUUUAUGGAUAAUCCAAAUGAACAGAACCCUAAGUCUCCAAAUGUUACCCUUUAUGAGUAACCCAAAUGAACAGAGUCCUAAAUCUCCAAAUGUUAUCUAUGAGUAACCUAAAUGAACAGUGCCGAUGAACAGUACCGUGAACAGUGUCGAUGAACAGACAAGUGGUCGAUGUGGCAACUCCAGCGAUGGGGAGAUCCAAAUGUUACCCUUUAUGAGUAACCCAAAUGAACAGAGUCCUAAGUCUCCAAAUGUUACUCAUGGAUAACCCAAAUGAACGAAGCCCUAAGUCUCCAAAAAAAAACUUUGAAAACUUG